GAUGAACGCUGGCGGCGUGCCUAAUACAUGCAAGUCGAACGAGGUGCUUGAGUAGCAAUACGAGAGUAUCCUAGUGGCGAACGGGUGAGUAACGCGUGGAUGACCUGCCCCAAAGUGUGGGAUAACAGUCCGAAAGGAUUGCUAAUACCUCAUGUGGUUAUCGGUUUUAGAAAGCGAUAACUAGAGCAGCAAUGCGCUUUGGGAGGGAUCUGCGUCCCAUCAGCUAGUUGGUGAGGUAACGGCUCACCAAGGCGACGACGGGUAGGGGACCUGAGAGGGUGGCCCCCCACAAUGGAACUGAAACACGGUCCAUACACCUACGGGUGGCAGCAGUAGGGAAUAUUGCUCAAUGGGCGAAAGCCUGAAGCAGCAACGCCGCGUGUGCGAUGAAGGCCUUCGGGUCGUAAAGCACUUUUCUAAGAGAUGAGAAAGGACAGCAUCUUAGGAAUAAGUCUCGGCUAACUACGUGCCAGCAGCCGCGG
RNAcentral lists this ribosomal RNA (482 nucleotides) under uncultured bacterium. RNAcentral describes it as "bacterial SSU rRNA". It matches the Rfam family "Bacterial small subunit ribosomal RNA", at positions 28 to 520 of the family's 1533-position model. The record is from RNAcentral.